Camellia sinensis is the source of this 435-nucleotide non-coding RNA. NCBI's taxonomy places the organism in Eukaryota, Viridiplantae, Streptophyta, Magnoliopsida, Ericales, Theaceae. The record is from RefSeq and is a predicted model, not a curated record.
AUAUCAAGAGGGAAAGCUAGGACUCUUGUUUCUAUUUUGCCUUUAUUUUCACAUGCAGUGUAUAUCGAUAAAGCAAAAUAACGAACAUGAACGGAUUUCUUGCAAGAUUAAUUUUCUUACCGCUAGAUAGAGACAAUGGGUUGUCUAGUGAUAAAAAAAUCUAGUAAAAAAUUCCCUUUUAUGUAUAGAAUUACUCUUUUGGUAGUAUCUGUACACACGUUGUAUUGCAUCAUCUUACUGUUGUUGACUGGAAAUCAUUGAAAACACAGGUACCAUAUCUAAGCGCUUCAUUUGGAGUCAUCUAUGUCCUUGUCAAACCUGCUACUUAUGCUAUUAUAUCAAGAGCAUCAAGUUCAGCUGAUCAGGUUUGUGGAGUAAUAUGGUGUCUUUAAAUUGAUUCAACAAUUAUUAAAUAGUUUGCCAACAGCUGAAAAG